AUGACCUCCCAGCCGCAGUUUCGCAAACCAACAGCAGCACUCUACAGAGCGCAACGCAUGACCAUCUGCUCUGCUCUUGGUAGUCUCACACGCUGUACCAGGGAGAAAAGCUAUUGCACAACACAAGGAGCAGCAAGAUGUUUGUUUGUUUUUCCAGGUGAUAAUUUUGGCCUCGCAGUUACCAUAAACAUGACGAAUGGGUCUGCUGUGGAUUUAACACAAUUUUGUGGUGGUACUGCUGGUCCAUGGUCAGAAAACGGACUUCAAGGGAUUUUAGCAGUCAGUAAAUGGUUCACAGACACCCCUUUCCUAUGAUUGCUUGCGUUCUCAAAAGAAAACAAAUAAUAAUAACAAAAAGACAAAGGCCAUUUCGAUUCUCGAGAUGGAGAAAAUCAGCCAAGCUCACCACAAGCUUUGUUCACUUACAUUUCAUGAAAACGUAGGUGGGGAGAGUUUAUUUUAGCUUAUUUUAGGGGGGAAAAGGUUCCUGUGACAAAGUGAUGGGUUAUUUUGCCUAGCUGGUAGAGCCAAGCAGGUGCACAAGACUUUGGUUAUCAGUCUGGGGAAACAGAAGAUGAGGUCCCUGCUCUGCUGCAGUCACCUGAGGUGAGAAUGAGGAAGGCAGGUGGGAUCCAUCUGAAGAGGUGUUCAUUAAGCACUGAGCCAGCAUUCUCCAUUGCAAAAGAGAAAUUACACCUCUCUGCCUUAUGGGGUAACAAGACAGAAUGGGAAUGAGCUUUGCUCUUGAGCUCAGACUUUGGAAGCAUACUUCUGCUUUCAGCACGCAGGAGGGGAAAACAUAACCUGAGAGAUGCUAUGGGAGAAGUUGAUGGCAUUUCAUCUGGACUGGACUAUAUAUCUUAUAAAGCACCAGUGGAUCUUGUUUAGCAUGUAGGUGUAAGGGUAAAAACACAAAAAGCCAACAUGAAUGAGUAAAACAGAAGUCUGUGACUAAACAGGUUGGUCAAAUUGGAAAACUGGUAUUUCUUUUGAAAUUCUAGUGCUGUAGCAUUAAGGAUUUAAUUCUUUUCCAGCAAUAACUGUGCAACUGAAAAACCUCUCCCACAAUACAUUAGCAAAGAGUGGUAAAUAUGAUGGUGAAAGCUACAGGGGUGGAGGGAGGAGGAAGGGAGAUAUUAAGACACUGGUGUGUAAAAAUGUAAUGUAGAUAGGUUCACUAACUCGAAGCAAAGAAAAACACAGAAGUGAAGACUUUUCUGCAAAUCUAAAGCAUGGCCUCAACCACAUCAGUCAAGCACCUGGAGAGUCCUACCUGCUAUUCCCACCCUGACUGCAGCCAACUCUGAGGUCUCAAUGACCAAUUUUCAAUUGAAUUCAUUCUGGGAAGAGAACCAUCCCAUGGGCUUGAGCCUGUCACAUAUCAGAUCUUCAGAAGAGCUUGUUUCUGAGACCAAGAUUAUCUGGGUCCUGAUAGCCUGAGUGGUUUCCAGGUCAGCUUUCCAAGGAUUACUUCGCUUCCUAUUUGACAGUUAUUUUCCAACUUGAAUGCUGCUUUCAGAAUCUCCAUAUUGGGUUUAUUUUUUUCUUGCUUCUGAUAAUUAUCCCCAAACCUGACAUGUCCAUACAGAACCUGUCCCAUCCCUCCUCCCCCUCCCCCCCCAAAAAAAGUUGUUUCAAUAUACAGUUAAGAAUAAAUGUUAUCUUUCCUAAGCUGUUGUGGAAGAA
Molecule: long non-coding RNA, 1686 nt
Organism: Apteryx owenii (little spotted kiwi)
Lineage: Eukaryota; Metazoa; Chordata; Aves; Apterygiformes; Apterygidae
Source: Ensembl